CGUGUAGGCGGCCAGAUAGGUCAGCUGUGAAAACUCGAGGCUUAACCUCGAGAUGUCGGCUGAAACCAUCUGGCUAGAGUCCGGAAGAGGAGAAUGGAAUUCCCGGUGUAGCGGUGAAAUGCGCAGAUAUCGGGAAGAACACCCGUGGCGAAGGCGGUUCUCUGGGACGGUACUGACGCUGAGACCGAGAAAGCGGUGGGGGAGACCGAACGA
This 213-nucleotide ribosomal RNA is filed under the name uncultured bacterium. RNAcentral describes it as "partial 16S ribosomal RNA". It matches the Rfam family "Bacterial small subunit ribosomal RNA", at positions 568 to 780 of the family's 1533-position model. The record is from RNAcentral.